GUACAUCCUGCCCAGUGACCAUUGUUCAACGGCCGCGGUACCCUGACCGUGCUAAGGUAGCAUAAUCAUUUGCCUCUUAAUUAGUGGCUAGUAUGAAUGGACAAACGAAAGUUCCCCUGUCUCUUCAAGGCCAAUGAAAAUUAACCUCCAGGUGAAGAGGCCUGAAUCUUAUUAAAAGACAAAAAGACCCUAUUGAGCUUUAUACAAACUUUAAACCACUUUAAUAAAACUAAAACUUAACCUUAAAAUAAGUAUUUUACUGGGGCGGUAAAGGAACAUCCAAAGAUUCCUUAUUCCUAAGACUUCUCAGUCAAUAAAAUGAUCCAUAACACAUGAUUAACAGACAUAGCUACCAUAGGGAUAACAGGCUAAUUUUUCUCUAGAGCCCAAAUUGACAGAAAAGAUUGGCACCUCGAUGUUGGCUUAGGAUAUCCCAAGGGCGCAAAAGCUCUAAAG
RNAcentral lists this ribosomal RNA (456 nucleotides) under Sternaspidae sp. B ZW-2021. Its description in RNAcentral is "partial large subunit ribosomal RNA". It matches the Rfam family "Bacterial large subunit ribosomal RNA", at positions 1852 to 2569 of the family's 2925-position model. Lineage: Eukaryota; Metazoa; Annelida; Polychaeta; Terebellida; Sternaspidae. The record is from RNAcentral.